GUGAGUCAUCGAAUCUUUGAACGCACAUUGCGCCCGCCAGUAUUCUGGCGGGCAUGCCUGUUCGAGCGUCAUUUCAACCAUCAAGCCCCCGGCUUGUGUUGGGGACCUGCGGCUGCCGCAGGCCCUGAAAUGCAGUGGCGGGCUCGCUGUCACUCCGAGCGUAGUAGUUACAUCUCGCUCUGGGCGUGCUGCGGGUUCCGGCCGUUAAAAGCCUUAUUUACCCAAGGUUGACCUCGGAUCAGGUAGGAAGACCCGCUGAACUUAAGCAUAUCAAUAAGCGGAGGA
Molecule: unclassified non-coding RNA, 285 nt
Filed under: Humicola sp.
Lineage: Eukaryota; Fungi; Ascomycota; Sordariomycetes; Sordariales; Chaetomiaceae
Also listed under: 1 other name
Description: partial contains 5.8S ribosomal RNA, internal transcribed spacer 2, and large subunit ribosomal RNA
Rfam family: 5.8S ribosomal RNA (bases 1-71)
Source: RNAcentral